UACGAAGGGUGCAAGCGUUACUCGGAAUUACUGGGCGUAAAGCGUGCGUAGGCGGUUCGUUAAGUCCGUUGUGAAAGCCCUGGGCUCAACCUGGGAAUGGCAGUGGAUACUGGCGAGCUAGAGUGUGAUAGAGGAUGGUGGAAUUCCCGGUGUAGCGGUGAAAUGCGUAGAUAUCUGGAGGAACACCGGUGGCGAAGGCGGCAUCCUGGACCGGCAUUGACGCUGAGGAGCGAAAGCCAGGGGAGCAAACGGG
Molecule: ribosomal RNA, 253 nt
Filed under: uncultured bacterium
Lineage: Bacteria
Description: partial 16S ribosomal RNA
Rfam family: Bacterial small subunit ribosomal RNA
Source: RNAcentral